CCUACGGGAGGCAGCAGUGGGGAAUCUUGCGCAAUGGGCGAAAGCCUGACGCAGCCAUGCCGCGUGAAUGAUGAAGGUCUUAGGAUUGUAAAAUUCUUUCACCGAGGACGAUAAUGACGGUACUCGGAGAAGAAGCCCCGGCUAACUUCGUGCCAGCAGCCGCGGUAAUACGAAGGGGGCUAGCGUUGCUCGGAAUUACUGGGCGUAAAGGGAGCGUAGGCGGAUAGUUUAGUCAGAGGUGAAAGCCCAGGGCUCAACCUUGGAAUUGCCUUUGAUACUGGCUAUCUUGAGUACGGAAGAGGUAUGUGGAACUCCGAGUGUAGAGGUGAAAUUCGUAGAUAUUCGGAAGAACACCAGUGGCGAAGGCGACAUACUGGUCCGUUACUGACGCUGAGGCUCGAAAGCGUGGGGAGCAAACAGGAUUAGAUACCCUGGUAGUCCACGCUGUAAACGAUGAGUGCUAGUUGUCGGCAUGCAUGCAUGUCGGUGACGCAGCUAACGCAUUAAGCACUCCGCCUGGGGAGUACGGUCGCAAGAUUAAAACUCAAAGGAAAUUGACGGCUGAGAGNGCGAGACGACGACGAGGGAGGAGG
This 593-nucleotide ribosomal RNA is filed under the name uncultured bacterium. Its description in RNAcentral is "bacterial SSU rRNA". It matches the Rfam family "Bacterial small subunit ribosomal RNA", at positions 338 to 948 of the family's 1533-position model. The record is from RNAcentral.